Molecule: small nuclear RNA, 106 nt
Organism: Balaenoptera ricei (Rice's whale)
Lineage: Eukaryota; Metazoa; Chordata; Mammalia; Artiodactyla; Balaenopteridae
Source: RefSeq, a predicted model, not a curated record
GUGCUCGCUUCAGCAGCAUAUAUACUAAAAUUGGAAUAAUACAGAGAAGAUUAGCACGGCCCUGUUCAAGGAUGAUGUGCAAAUUCGUGAAGUGUUCCAUAUUUGG